RNAcentral lists this transfer RNA (1982 nucleotides) under Candidatus Paraburkholderia calva. RNAcentral's name for it is "tRNA-OTHER". The stretch from base 858 to 931 matches the Rfam family "tRNA". The record is from RNAcentral. Lineage: Bacteria; Pseudomonadati; Pseudomonadota; Betaproteobacteria; Burkholderiales; Burkholderiaceae.
GUCUGGGCAUGGAUGUUCUUAUUUGGACACCUUGUUUGGGCUACUGGAUUUAUGUUCUUAAUUUCUUGGCGUGGGUAUUGGCAGGAAUUGAUUGAAACUUUAGCCUGGGCUCAUGAGCGAACACCUUUAGCCAAUUUGAUUCGCUGGAGAGAUAAACCAGUGGCCCUUUCCAUUGUGCAAGCAAGAUUGGUUGGAUUAGCCCACUUUUCUGUAGGUUAUAUAUUUACUUAUGCGGCUUUCUUAAUUGCCUCUACGUCGGGCAAAUUUGGUUAAUUUUUUAAUUCAUUUUUGAAUGUGGUUGUAUCCGAGAAAGAUUCAUUUCUUUGGAUGGAGAGGGGUUCGGCCUUCUUAUAUUUCUACAUCUAGGAUUCGACUUGUAUCAGGGAUACCAAGAGGAACUAAACCAUUAUGGCAAGGAAAGGUUUGAUUCAGCGGGAGAAGAAAAGGCAAAAAUUGGAACAUAAAUAUCAUUUGAUUCGUCGAUCCUCAAAAAAAGAAAUAAGCAAAGUUCAGUCGUUAAAUGACAAAUGGGAAAUUUAUAGAAAGUUACAAUCCCCACCGCGGAAUAGCGCACCUACACGUUUUCAUCGACGUUGUUUUGCGACCGGAAGACCGAGAGCUAAUUAUCGAGACUUUGGACUAUCUGGACAUAUACUUCGAGAAAUGGUUCAUGCAUGUUUGUUGCCUGGAGCAACAAGAUCCAGUUGGUAAGGAUUAACCUUUGAUUUCUAUUUGAUGGUUGGUGAUCGGGGGGCCCCUUUACCAUUCUGUAUAAAUCGGCUAUUCUAUUGUACAGAUAUGGUAGAGGGGCACAUUCAACCCUUGGUUGUCUAUUAGUUUUCGGUUCUUCUCGUUAGCGCGGGGUAGAGCAGUUUGGUAGCUCGCAAGGCUCAUAACCUUGAGGUCACGGGUUCAAAUCCCGUCUCCGCAACAUCUUGUUUGUAAACAAUUUUUAGGUUUUACUCUGUUAACUAGUAAUUCAUUAUCUGCUUUUCUUUUUAGAUAAGGAUAGAAUCAUUAAAUGAUCGCGGCCAAUUAUACUAAAUACCUUAUCAUUAUCAUAUUAACUAAAUUACUUUAGUUUAGUUUGAGCGGAUAGCGGGAAUCGAACCCGCGUCUUCUCCUUGGCAAAGAGAAAUUUUACCAUUCGACUAUAUCCGCAUUUUUUGUUCUUGAUACAUAAUGAUACCUAAUAUGUUCACACAAUAUUAAAUUCAUAGAUACUUGGAUCAUUUUUGGGAACGAACAGAGGCUCGACUCAGAUCGAUUCAAAUUAUUGUAUUAAUUUAUUCUUUUAUCAUUCAAGAAUUUUUCAAAAAGUUUGACCCCCUAUAUUUUUUUCUUUAUUUUAUUUGCAUUUUCUUUUGGGGACUUAUAUUAAAUAUUAAAUUUGAAGUUUACUACGUCUCCCAAACGAGGAAAAUUUGCGGGGGUCAUUUCGGUUUCGGCUCUGGAACAGAUAGGUUUUCAAGAGAUGAGAGAAUUAAGGAUACCGACUAGAAAAACUAACCCAAUCCAUAAUGAUGUGCCGGAAAAUAUAACAUUUUUGUUACUUGACCAACCGUCGGGAGAAGCAAAUACAACAGGCACACUAAUCAAUAAGAUUAAUGAAGUAGCAAUUAAUGCAAAAACAGCCAAUUGGAAAGCAAGGGUCAUACUUUUAAUCCUCCACUCUAACAACAAAUGAACUUAUACCAUUUGAUCCCCCUAUCAACAACAAAAUUUUAAUAAAUUCAAUCCUCGAAGGAUUGAAGUUACCGUGAUUCAAUAUGACGUAUUACUACCUACUUUUUUAUACAUACACGGGUCGAGGGAACUGGAAUUUAUUUGAUUUCAAAAAAGGGCGUGCUGCCUCACAUAUAUGGUACGGAUAAGAUAUAUUGAUCGGUGUAUUCCCGCCGUAGAUCUUUCUACGGAUAGCGGUGGAUACCACCGCUAUGGUCAUGUUCUAUUCGGAGGAAUAAAAUAAAAAUUGUGUUUCG